This is a non-coding RNA of Stereum hirsutum FP-91666 SS1, 103 nucleotides long. The record is from the annotation of a RefSeq genome assembly. NCBI's taxonomy places the organism in Eukaryota, Fungi, Basidiomycota, Agaricomycetes, Russulales, Stereaceae.
AGCUCGGUAGCGCAACGGUAGCGCGUCUCUCCCACUUUGGAUCGUGUCCCAGUUGUCUUAUAUGGGUGGAGAGAAGUUCUCGGUUCGACUCCGAGUCGCACUA